CUGGAGAACAGUCACUUCUCAGCUCCUCUGAUGCAUUGGCGUGGGUGAACAAGUUAGAGCUUGCCAGGAAAUCAGUGAAGCAACACAUAUGCAGCUGCUAGAAGAGGAGUGUAAAGGAGAGCUGGUGGCUUUGGAAGGUUGCUGUUUAUAUGUCUGCUGAAGGAUAGGGGAUCCUAUUCAUCAGUGGCAUUUGGAAAUAGAGCUGGAUGCAGAGUGGAGAGUGAUAACAAGCUGAAUCCACUGGAUGAACUUCAAAGAGUAAUGGCUGCUGCUUCAUUUCUGCUUUCCAAAUCACAUUGGAUUAUCUUUUGACCACCUCUGAGAACCAUAUGGGGAAAGAGGAUUCUGGGCAAUAUUGUUCCAGGUCAAACAAGCUGAUAAACUACAAGCUGAUAAACUACAAAACAACCGCACUCCAGCUCAUGUCAGCUUGGUGUCAUUCACAUCUCUUUUAUCCAUAUUUGCAUCUAAUAGUUCUCUCUCUUGCUGCCAUGUGAAGAAGAAAGUUCUUGCUUCCCCUUCUGCUGAGAUUAUAAGUUUCCUGAGGCCUCCCCAGCCACGCUGAACUGUGAGUCAAUUAAACUUCUUUCCUUUAUAAAUUACUCAGUCUCGAGUAUGUCUUUAUUAAAAGUGUGAGAACUAACUAAUACAGUAAAUUGGUACUGCAGAGAGUGGGACAUUGCUGUAAAGAUACCUGAAAAUGUGGAAGCGAAUUUGGAACUGG
Molecule: long non-coding RNA, 724 nt
Filed under: Homo sapiens (human)
Lineage: Eukaryota; Metazoa; Chordata; Mammalia; Primates; Hominidae
Description: HSALNT0044163
Source: RNAcentral